GAUGAACGCUAGCUACAGGCUUAACACAUGCAAGUCGAGGGACCGGCGCACGGGUGAGUAACACGUAACCAACCUGCCCUUUACUCGGGGCUAGCCUUUCGAAAGAAAGAUUCAUACCCGAUGUAAAGGAUGGGGAUGCGUUCCAUUAGGUUGUUGGUGAGGAAACGGCUCGCCAAGCCUUCGAUGGAUAGGGGUUCGGAGAGGAAGCUCCCCGAGAUUGGAACUGAGCCACGAUCCAAACUCGUACGGGAGGCAGCAGUGAGGAAUAUUGGUCAAUGGGCGUUAGCCUGAACCAGCGAAGUAGCGUGAAGGAUGAAGGCUUAUGGAUCGUAAACUUCUUUUAUAUAAGAAGAUGUAUUAUAUGAAUAAGGAUCGGCUAACUCCGUGCCAGCAGCCGCGGUAAUAC
RNAcentral lists this ribosomal RNA (406 nucleotides) under uncultured bacterium. RNAcentral's name for it is "partial 16S ribosomal RNA". It matches the Rfam family "Bacterial small subunit ribosomal RNA", at positions 28 to 526 of the family's 1533-position model. The record is from RNAcentral.